RNAcentral lists this ribosomal RNA (253 nucleotides) under uncultured bacterium. Its description in RNAcentral is "partial 16S ribosomal RNA". It matches the Rfam family "Bacterial small subunit ribosomal RNA", at positions 524 to 776 of the family's 1533-position model. The record is from RNAcentral.
UACGUAGGGACCGAGCGUUGUCCGGAAUCAUUGGGCGUAAAGAGCGUGUAGGCGGCUAUUUAAGUCCUGCGUGAAAUCCUGCGGCUCAACCGCAGACGGUCGUGGGAAACUGGAUGGCUAGAGUGCGGGAGAGGAGAGUGGAAUUCCCGGUGUAGCGGUGAAAUGCGCAGAUACCUGGAGGAACACCGGUGGCGAAGGCGGCGUUCUGGACUGCAACUGACACUGAAAAACGAAAGCCAGGGGAGCAAACGGG